UUAUCUCUGUAGAGUCUGCAUAUCAAUAAGCGGAGGAAAAGAAACUAACAAGGAUUCCCCUAGUAACGGCGAGCGAAGCGGGAAGAGCUCAAAUUUGAAAUCUUAAAGGGUUUCCCUUUACGAAUUGUAGUUUAAAGAAGUGUUUUCUGUUGAGGUUUUGGUAAAAGUUCUUUGGAAUAGGACAUCAUAGAGGGUGAGAAUCCCGUAUUUGACCUUUACUUUCAACUUUGUGAUACACUUUCAAAGAGUCGGAUUGUUUGGGAAUGCAGUCCAAAAUGGGUGGUAAAUUUCAUCUAAAGCUAAAUAUUGGCGAGAGACCGAUAGCGAACAAGUACCGUGAGGGAAAGAUGAAAAGAACUUUGAAAAGAGAGUUAAACAGUACGUGAAAUUGUCAAAAGGGAAGCGUUUGACACCAGUGUUGUUUUUCUGAAAAUCAAUUAAAGAACUGUUUAUGCUAAGUUGUUUAGACUUUAUCAGCUAACUGUUUAGUUUUGAGCUUUUCUUUAAUGCACUUUUCAGUUAACAAGUCAACAUCAAUUUCUUUUGCUGUAAAAAAGCUUGAGGAAGGUGGCUUGAGAUUCGUCUUAAGUGUUUAUAGCCUCUUGCCUAUGCAGUCGGAGAGAUUGAGGUCUGCAGCGUAGAUCCUUCGGGGCUAAAUGCAUUUGUGCUAAGUUAUAGCAUUUUAUAGACAACUUGUUGACUAUGAUUUGUCUUGUAGCUUACUCGCUUAUGUUAUUUUACCUACGCUUAGGAUGUUGACGAUCAGCUGAGCGCG
Molecule: ribosomal RNA, 775 nt
Filed under: uncultured Neocallimastigales
Lineage: Eukaryota; Fungi; Neocallimastigomycota; Neocallimastigomycetes; Neocallimastigales
Description: partial large subunit ribosomal RNA
Rfam family: Eukaryotic large subunit ribosomal RNA
Source: RNAcentral